UCCGUAGGCGGUGCGGCAAGUCGGAAGUGAAAUCUCAGGGCUUAACCCUGAGGCUGCUUCCGAAACUGCCGUGCUCGAGUGCGAGAGAGGCGAGUGGAAUUGCAGGUGUAGCGGUGAAAUGCGUAGAUAUCUGCAGGAACAUCCGAGGCGAAAGCGGCUCGCUGGAUCGCAACUGACGCUGAGGGACGAAAGCUAGGGGGAGCAAACAGGAUUAGAUACCCUGGUAGUCCUAGCCCUAAACGAUCAGGACUGGGCGUGGGCCUCGUACGGGGCUCGUGCCGCAGCUAACGCGUUAAGUCCUGCGCCUGGGGAGUACGGUCGCAGGCUGAA
RNAcentral lists this ribosomal RNA (330 nucleotides) under uncultured bacterium. RNAcentral describes it as "bacterial SSU rRNA". It matches the Rfam family "Bacterial small subunit ribosomal RNA", at positions 568 to 898 of the family's 1533-position model. The record is from RNAcentral.